UUUUAGCUAAGGCAAUUCCCAUCUUCACAGGCGGUUCCCCUGUGCGCUGUGUCAAAAUUCCCCAAAUUCCUCCUGCUUUCGUUGGUCUCCCCUCUGGCACUGUUAGAUUUCAUUGCAUCGUCUGUGGAGCUAUCCGGAUGCCUGGAGUGCCGACGCCUUCGAAAAGGCACAUUAAUGGAUCAUCGACAAUAAAAAAAGAAUUUCACUCAGUAAACGAAGCUCGUGAUAAAAAUACUAAACACCAUAAAAUAGAUAACUUUUUAGCAAUGACUCAGAAAGACGAAAAGUUGUUGCAACGCCGCCUCAAAUGUCGAUAGGCAACAACUAAUCGGCUUCUCGCAAAUGCAAAUCAUGUGAAUCUUGAUGGAACGAUAUCUCACAUACAACAUGAUGUUAAUAUUGGAGUAGCUUUUCCAACUUCAGAAACAGUUACUGUGCGGGGAAGUUUUUCUUCAUUGGAUGCAUAUGACAGGGAGAAAGAUAUGCUUCUUCCUUUUCAUGUUUUUGAAAAAGGUACAUAUAUGUUUACAGACUAUUGAAAAGAAACAACUGCUACUUGAAGCAGAUAUUCAAAUUUUCUUCCUUUUCAUCUGUUAUUUGGAACUCAGUGUAAUAUGUUGGACUUUCUAUUCUUUAUUUUGCCUAGUGUAAUGAUUAAGCUCUAUUCUUCCUAUUAUUUGAAAACUUAGUUGCUUUUAGAAUUCGGAGUAGAAAUCACACGAAAUUUUGGUGAUUCUACUUCAUCUAUUUAAUUUGUAUACUAAAAGAAGAUGAAUCUGAAUAAUGUGUGGUUGGCCACUAAAAAAUACGGCAUUCUGUCAACUAUAGUUGUUGGGGCAGAAUGUAAAGUUGUAUUCCACCCAAAGGACAACCAGAACUGGGCAGAAUUAUGCGAUGACAAAAUUGAUUGCGGCCAUCUUUCAUGGAGUUAGAUGAUGCUAAAAAAAAGUUGGGGCAGAUUGGUUGAGUUAAAUUUUAAUGAUGAACUUACUACUGGUUUACUUU
This is a long non-coding RNA of Nicotiana attenuata, 1005 nucleotides long. RefSeq lists it as uncharacterized. The transcript has 4 exons. The record is from RefSeq and is a predicted model, not a curated record. Lineage: Eukaryota; Viridiplantae; Streptophyta; Magnoliopsida; Solanales; Solanaceae.